RNAcentral lists this long non-coding RNA (4978 nucleotides) under Homo sapiens (human). Its description in RNAcentral is "HSALNT0074973". The record is from RNAcentral. Lineage: Eukaryota; Metazoa; Chordata; Mammalia; Primates; Hominidae.
AAGCAAAAAACACAAACAAGGCAUUUAGAUUUGUUAGGAAGGAAUUCAAGUCAGUCAGUAAAGUGAUAACUUUUGAAUUAUCUGAGAAAAAUAUACUCAGAACAAAAUCAGGCACACUAAAGGUAUCCAUAAUCCACAUUAUUUACUAGGCUAAAGGUAAGUACAAACAAAUCUACAUGGACUAAUUGUAUCACAGAACAAAAAGGGUAGCAAAAUCCAGUAAUUCCAAUGGAGUAAUAAAGUUGCAGACAAAGGAAAAUUAACGUGUGCAUUGCUUGAGAUAUGACUAAAAUGUCAUUAAAAUAAAUUCUAAGUUAUGAAUAUUCAUUUGAAAAGUUACAAAGUACACACUGAUUUAUAUUUCAGAAGCAAGGAUAUAUGUUUCUAUAUAAUUUAGUCCUAAAUAUAGUUCAUUUCCUAUGCUAAUGCUUUUUUCCUUCUUCUUACCUUCUUAGGUCAACAACAAGAGGCCAGGACCUCCCAAGAAAAGCUUUACUAAUGUAAUAGCUUUGGCCAAGUCCACCCAAUAUAUUUUCCUCUCUGCAAAGAGAAACAAGCUAUUGUCUCAUCUUAGGUUUCAUCUUCUUCCAUGCCACUGUUAUUCAUGUUCAAAUCCUGGCUGUCCUUCAGGGUCCAAUUCAAAUGAUUAUCGCCAUUUUCUAUUAAUGUCAUUUCUUCCUAUUUUCUACCUUUUGUUAGCUAUGUUAAAGUGUUUCUUUACCAACAUCCCCCAUAUAUUGUGUAACACAGUGUCUAUGGCUUACUCAUUUUUGAAUCCUUAUCAUGACCUGACAUAAUGAAGAUUCUUAGUACAUAGUGAUACAUGUAAAUAUGAGUUAAUUAGUACAUGAUAGACUUGAUUUCCAGAAUGAUUUUGUAUAGUUGAAUUGUGUAGUAAGGGGACACAUGUGAAAUGAAGACUUUAGUCAGUAUCAAGAAGAUAUUUUGGGUGACUUCACAUAUCUGCCAAUGAUAAAUCUAGAAACAAUAGGUGCUUGGGUAGGUGAUUUCCUUUUGCCUUCUUUAUCAUUGUUUUCCCAGUAUUUCUUACAUUCAUCUAAUUUCAUUAGAUGCCCAUAUACUUUAUACUGGCUCUUCCUGUGAGGUUCGAACUGGUCCAGUCCAUUUGUUUUCAGAAUUGAUUCAUCUGGAGAGUCAUCUCCUAUCCUCCCAAACAAUGAUAUACCAGUCUGAGGACUGUGUAGAAGGGACUUCUCUUUCUACUCAGUAUGACCAAAAUAAUUCAAUUCUAGUUGUGGUGUGUGAUUUAUGAAUAUUUUGUCCUUUAGUUUGUGUGAGCCAAUUUUGUGCCAUAAGAAUUUUAGCCUCCUUUUCCACAAAAGAGUGAUUUAAUCAAACAAAAGUUGACAAUCAAUGUAGUACAUUUGUGUGACAGUGAUUAAACAUGGUGUUUUUCUCUUAGGUGUCUGAGUAGAUUUGGAAAUGCCCAUUCAGCCCUCAGAGCUCCUCUGCUUUAAGGGUGAUGGACUUCCUGUACCACUACGUAGUGCAUGAGUGCCAGCCACUGGUAUCUAGAACUGUGAUUAGUGAGGAAACACUAGGAGGAACAAACAACCCAACUCUUUUUAUCUAAUCUGUUGACUCCAAAGGGACCUUCUGCUUAUUCCAGUUAAAACUCAAGCUGCAAUUCAAAAUGAAAUCAGUAUCUUUUUUCUCUACUUUUCAGCAAAGCAAGAUGCUACCUUAUAAUUACCACGUAACAAUCAAUCGCAAACAUAGUGGCUUAAAGCAGCUCCUCUUUUAGCCUACAUAUCUGCAAACUGGCAGUCUGGACUGAGCUCAGCUGGAUGUUUUUUCUGAGCUGAUCAUGUAUGUAGGGUCUGCUGCUGGCUGGUUUAGACUGAUGGUGGAUGAGAAACCACAUGAAGAAGAGAGGCAUGAUGGUGGCAGAGUUCUGAAAGAGUCACACAGAAGGGCGUUGAGUUCGUGGCUUGAAAAUAGCAUCCUGUCACUUCUACCACAUUCUAUUUACCAGGCCAGCCCAGAUAAAGAUGUGAAGAAACAGACUCCAUCUCUUGAUGGGAGAAGUUGAAAAUCAAUGGAAAAUGGCAUGGAUAAGGAAAGGAGUGAUGAUUGUGGCCAUAUUUGUAAUGGCCAUAUUUGAUACCCUUUUCAGUUUUCCUAGCCACACUUCUCAUUGGCCAGGAAAAUUAAAUGCAUGUCAACACUGAAGAAAACAGAUCUUGGUUAAAAGCAAUGAUGUAGCUAAUAUCCCGUUCAGGUAAAAGAUUACUUAUAUAGUGUGAGACAGGCAUGAGGCAGAGAAGUGCUUACAGGUUGGUUUCUGCUUUGUUAGCAGAUUUACUUUUAGAUCAUAUACUACUUUGUUUUUACUGUUUUAUUGAGAAAAAAUAACAAAUAUUUCCAAAAUUUUGCAGCAUGCAACUCAGUGCUUCAGUUGGCAUUCAAUCAAAAUUUCCUUGAAAUAAAAAAAGACAAGAGAGAGACUUGGAAUUAUGACUCUUCUACUAGAUUAGCUCCUUCAUGUCAAAAUCUGUCAAGUUUAUGAUUUAUUCAGAUAGCACUUGUUUUUGGUGUAAUAACUAAACUGUUGCUUUAGAGUCUACUACAUUCUCCUCUAUUAUUUGGCAUUUUUCUCUUUAUUAUUUUGUUCAAGUAGGAUAUUGUGCUGAGUUGAACCAUGAAAUGAAUUGUAUUGAGCAACAUCAACAACAUAAAUAUUCUGGGGUGUCAUCUGCAUUUUCAUAUCUGGCUGCUCAAAUUCUUUUUACAGCUAUAGCUUUGAUAAUAAUGUAAUAGCAUAAUGUUUUUCAUUAGAUAUCAAAUCAUAGAAGACAACAAAGAUGUGUUAAGUUAGCAUAGUUUAAUAUAAGGAAACAACAGCAUCAGUAAAAGCAUUGAGCACUAAAUAUCUCUUCCAUUUCAGUUCUUUUACAGGAAGCUUUUGUUACGUGUUGUCAGCACAUUGCUGUGAUGCUCAAGUAUAGCUCUUUAAUGUGAAAACCUGGUAUUUGGGCAUGGCUUGAAGCAGGUGGGUGUCAUUGUGACUGGCUGCUACCUCCCCAUGAGUCUUCUAAAAUAAAACCUGCAAAUUCACAUCUUCCCCAUGCUUCCAGAGAAUGCAUAUUCUUCCUUUGAAAAAAGAAAACCAGCACUGUUCAUAAUAGCCAAGAUUUGGAAGCCACCUAAGUGUCCAUCAACAGAUGAAUGGAGAAACUGUGGUACAUAUACACAACGGAGUGCUAUUCAGCCAUAAAAAAGAAUGAUACUCUGUCAUCUGCAACAACAUGAAUGGAACUGGAGAUCAUUAUGUUGUUAAAUAAGCCAGACACAGAAAGACAAACAUCACAUAUUUUCACUUAUUUUGGGGAUAUAAAAGUCAAAACAAACUCAUGGAGAUAGAGAACAGAUAGACGGUUACCAGAGGCUAGGAGGAGGAGUGGUGGGGGGCAGUUAGUGAUGGUUAAUUGGUACAAAAAAAUGGUUAGAAAUAAUAAAUAAGACCUAGUAUUAGAUAGGACAACAGGAGGACUAUAGUCAAAAAUAAUUUAUUUGUACAUUUCAAAGUAACUAAAAGAGUGUAAUUGUAUUAUUUGUAGCACAUAGGAUAAAUGCUUGAGGUGACGGAUACCCCAUUUACCCUGAUGUGAUUAUUACACAUCGUAUGCCUGUACCAAAAGAUCUCAUGUACCUCAUAAAUACAUACACCUACUAUAUACCCACACAAAUUAAAAAUUAAAAAAAUUUAAAGAAAUUACAGUUUGUUGGUUUUGAAUAUUUGACCAAAUUUUUUACUAAGCACAGAUAGAUUGAAUAUAAUUUUAUUGUCCUUUUGACAUUAUGAUAAUGAAGGUAUCUACACAGAAGUCUGAGAUGAGAAAAAAAUGAUAUAAUAUCCACCUACUACAUAGUGGGUAGUUUAUAUACUAAAGUUAUUGUUAUGAGAAAGAAUGGCUUAGGAAUAUUAUUUAAAAUUAAUUAAGGGGUGUUAAAAAUAAAAUACCAAGUGUAAAAAUGACAAAGGCAAGAAGAAACAGUAUAUAAUGUGAGUAAAUCUUAAUCUUUCCAAGAGAGGAGACAGUACAUAAUGUCUAAAAUUGUUAAACCAUGAAAUAGAAAUAUAGUUAUUUUAUUCAUAAUUAAGGAGAUAACUACUAUAGCACGAAAUCGUGCCAAAAAUGGUUGCCUCUGGGAAAUGUGAUUAUAGAUAUUAUAAUAUUUUGGACUGUAAAAAUCUGCUUUUAAGACUGAGGAAAUACAAAUAGGACAAUAUUUAUUUGAAAUUUGUAUCCUCAGGGAGUGUAAAGAAAUUAAUGUAUCCACAAAAUAAUAAUAGCUGCUAUUUGAAAACAUAGUUUUCUUGAAAGUUAAAAUAGUAAUAGUCUUCUAAAAAUUUUGUUAGUUUUGGUUUUCUCUUUAAUCUGAGUUAUGUAGAAAAGUGCUUAUUUCAAAUUAGGUAGGCUUGUUUUAUUCCUUUUUCUGUCUUUUUUCUAUCAACUAGUGUUUUAUUGUGUUCAGAAAAUGCCAUGCAUUAAAAGACUACUUUUGAGAAUUUCUAGAGAUUUUCUUUGUUACUAAAGAGAUUUUUGUAAUUGUUACAUGGGAUUUUAAAAAGAAUGUAAAUUAUCCUUUUUGUCAAGUAUAAUGAUUUCUGAAACCUAGCUGUGUCAGAAUACUGUAUAAUACUGUAAUAGUAUGUUGUUUUUGGCUAUGUGUACUUAUUUCUUAGAGUGGUAUGUUAAAGCCUCGACCUUGUGACUUUGUUUAUUUCUCUCUCUACAUCUAAACAUUUCCAAGACAUGUUAUUUGCAAUACCAAGACCAUAACUAUUAUGUAUUUAAUCAAAAUAAAAUAUUUCGGCUCUCUAUAAUUCACCUUGAACUUUAUUUUGUUAAAUAUAAAUGUUGUUGAUUAUACAACAUUUCAUUAUCAAUCCCUAGACACAUUUCUAAUCCACUAUAAUUGUUUUAAAAUAAAAGGAGAAGGGAAGGUUGUA